RNAcentral lists this ribosomal RNA (1470 nucleotides) under uncultured Parabasalia sp. RNAcentral describes it as "SSU rRNA". It matches the Rfam family "Eukaryotic small subunit ribosomal RNA". The record is from RNAcentral. Lineage: Eukaryota; Parabasalia.
AAGGAAGCACACUUCGGUCAUAGAUUAAGCCAUGCAAGUGCAAGUUCCAGCAAUAGCUUAAACUGCGAACAGCUCAUUAACACACUUUGAAUUUCCUUGACAACCUUCUCACGAAGUUAUAUGGCUAGCAGGAGUAAACUCGUGCUAAUCCAUGCAAUUGUUUCAUCGGAAGUGAUUUACGAUGUCAAAGUUCACCCAUUUGGGGGUGUCAAUCAACUGAGUGACCUAUCAGCUUGUACUUAGGGUCUUUACCUAGGUAGGCUAUCACGGGUAACGGGCGGUUACCGUCGUACUGCCGGAGAAGGCGCCUGAGAGAUAGCGACUAUACCCAUGGGUAGCAGCAGGCGCGAAACUUUCCCACUCUUCAAUGAAGGAGGGGGUAAUGACCAGUUCCUUCGGGAUAGUCUGCAAGUUUACUUCUUGCAGGUAGCAAGCAGAGGGCCAGUCUGGUGCCAGCAGCUGCGGUAAUACCAGCUCUGCGAGUUUGCUCCCAUAUUGUUGCAGUUAAAACGCCCGUAGUCUUAAGUCUUUUGUAGGUUUGAUAAACUGCGAAUAAAUCAGGACGCUUAGGGUAUUUUUUCAAAGAAUGACCUAGCGCAGUCUUUUAUCUUUUUCCAUUUGGAAAAUCUCAAAGAGAGCCAUCGGGGGUAGCUCUAUUCCAUGGCGAGCGGUGGAAUGCAUUGACCCAUGAGGAGAGAAUCUAAAGCGAAAGCAACUACCAAGAGGGUUUCUGUCGAUCAAGGGCGAGAGUAGGAUUAUCGAACCGGAUUAGAGACCCGGGUAGUUCCUACUGUAAACUAUGCCGACAAGGUCUUGUGCUUUUUUAAGCGCAGUGCCUUUCCUGAAAAGAUAGUUCAUGGGCUCUGGGGGAACUACGACCGCAAGGCUGAAACUUGAAGGAAUUGACGGAAGGGCACACCAGGGGUGGAGCUUGUGGCUUAAUUUGAAUCAACACGGGGAAACUUACCAGGACCAGAUGUUUUAUAUGACUGCCUGUUUGAAGGAUAUGCAGGAUUUUACUUUUGGUGGUGCAUGGCCGUUGGUGGUGCGUGGGUUGACCUGUCUAGCGUUGAUUCAGCUAACGAGCGAGAUUAUCAUCCUCCUUUAUAUGAGGACACUCCCUUUUUUAAAAAGGCGGAAGAGGGUAGCAAUAACAGGUCCGUGAUGUCCUUUAGAUGCUCUGGGCUGCACGCGCGCUACAAUGUGAGUUUCAAAGAGUUGCUCUCUUGCGAAAGAAUGCUACUCUCACAACGUCUCACGUAGUUGGGAUUGAUGAUUGUAAUCAUCAUCAUGAACCAGGAAUCCCUUGUAAAUGUGUGUCAACAGCGCACGUUGAAUACGUCCCUGCCCUUUGUACACACCGCCCGUCGCUCCUACCGAUUGGAUGACUCGGUGAAAUUGCCAGACUCAAUUGAGAACGGUACUUAAAUCACGUUGUCUAGAGGAAGGAGAAGUCGUAACAAGGUAACG